UACGGGGGGGCAAGCGUUGUUCGGAAUUACUGGGCGUAAAGGGCUCGUAGGCGGCCAACUAAGUCAGACGUGAAAUCCCUCGGCUUAACCGGGGAACUGCGUCUGAUACUGGAUGGCUUGAGAUUGGGAGAGGGAUGCGGAAUUCCAGGUGUAGCGGUGAAAUGCGUAGAUAUGUGGAGGAACACCAAUGGCGAAGGCAGCCCCCUGGGUCAACACUGACGCUCAUGCACGAAAGCGUGGGGAGCAAACAGG
Molecule: ribosomal RNA, 252 nt
Filed under: uncultured bacterium
Lineage: Bacteria
Description: partial 16S ribosomal RNA
Rfam family: Bacterial small subunit ribosomal RNA
Source: RNAcentral